GGUGGCAAUUUUGCUACAAAUGUCCAAUAUGGUACACACAAUACCAAUGAGCAACACGAGGCAAAUUCCCCAAUGUCACCACUUUUAAGGCCAACCAGCUCAGUUCGUGGCCAGAGUUGCACUGUUGAUCUUGAGUCUGCACAUAAAGUGUUGCCUGGUGCAAGUCAGUUGUCACUGCAAGUUUUAUGCGGGGAAUCUAUGCACCCAGAUGUUGAUGCAUUUAUAAAAUCCACAUUAGGCUCUGAAGCUCCUGCAGAGGUGCACCAGCAUUUGAGGAUCUUGUGCUUGAGUUUUUUCAAGGAUUCUGUUCAGCAAUAUGUCAAAUCUAUCGAACCUUUGCUUGUGAGCCAGUGUUGUGAUAUGGUGAAAUCUUUUUGUACUGGCUUGGAGCAAU
Molecule: long non-coding RNA, 394 nt
Organism: Panicum virgatum (switchgrass)
Lineage: Eukaryota; Viridiplantae; Streptophyta; Magnoliopsida; Poales; Poaceae
Exons: 3
Source: RefSeq, a predicted model, not a curated record